Long non-coding RNA from Choloepus didactylus (southern two-toed sloth), 2385 nucleotides. RefSeq lists it as uncharacterized. The record is from RefSeq and is a predicted model, not a curated record. The transcript is spliced from 3 exons. Lineage: Eukaryota; Metazoa; Chordata; Mammalia; Pilosa; Megalonychidae.
AAAUGGGGAGGCAUUAGGGGACGGAUGCAAUCAAUGUAAAUUAGAAACUGUGUGACCUCACUGAAUGAGGGUGGACCUUUAUCAGAAUCACUGGAGGCCAUUCUGAGCAGAAGAAAUACCCACGUAGGACAGAAAGCCACUGGGAGGAGCCAGAAGCCGGAAGUCAAGAAACCCGGAAGUAAACGGAGCCCAGAAGCCAACGGGAGCCCGGAAGAGAAAGAAGAGGACGUCACGUUGCGUAGGACAAACGAAGGAGCCCCUGAAAUGGCUGCCGACAAGAAUGCUGCUGACGCAGGAGCAAGUGAGUCUUCUGGCCAGUGCUGCGAUUUGGACUUCUGGCUUCUGAAACGAGAUCUUGGAAAGCAAGGAUUCUGGAUGGUGUAGUCCAGGAUGGAAACUUUAUGGGUUCCUGAGUCACUGUUUGGAGAAGAGCUUCCUGGGAGAGCUACAUGACCCACAACAGAUCUUGUGACAUGUCAAACCAGUAAGAGUUUAGAUAUUAUUUGUUACUGUGUCCUUGCCAAGCCUCUACUAACGAAUGUACUUAAAAACAAUUACCUGGUGAGGUAGGGCAGUGAAGAAGAACAGAAGUUUUGUAGUCCUACAGGAGUAAUUGAAACCUCAGUUCUGCCAUCUACUACUUGUAUAACCUUAGGCAUUAUUUGGAGGGAACUAGAAAUUAAUACUGGCAAUAUUUUUACACUUUAUACCAAAAAGAGGGUAGAUAUAGGUCCAGGAAAACUUAAGUGAGAGAAAUUCCACGGAAGUUGUUUUAGCUCUGAGACAACAUAUUCACCAAGGUACCACCUCAUCUCAUUUUGUUUUCCCAAAAUGGUUUCCUUGUUUUUCUUCUGUAAAGGAUUCUAUUGUGUUUUCCAUACAAACUAAUCUUGUAUGAAUUUGGAUGGCACAAGUCUUUUUUAAAAAUAGACCUUAUUCAUGCCUUGAUGAACUGAAAUGUCAUGCUUCAGAUCUGGCAGCUGGAAGUUAAAAAUCCUGCAUUUUGUAUGGUGACCUUGAGCCUUUGCAUGUCCAUUUCCCUUUCAUCCUUUUUUGGGGAGACCCCAUGGGUGGUUUCCCAUUGGUUGUUCAGAUUUAACCAUUAUUGGCUGUUUCUCCCUCAUUUUGCAUCCUCAAAGCAGUGUGAUGGAAAUUCAGUGUUAUGUGACCUGAAACUAGCAUUUUGCAGACAUUAUUUUUUGUGUUGAAGAGCUCGCUCUAAUAUAAUGUCCAAUCUUCCCACAAUUAUCACAUUUUCUUUCCCUGCUGAACACUCUGAAGCAUUUUUGCUGAGUAGUUACAGAACCACAGUGGAAAUGGUCCUGGUCUCUGGUGGUCAGAUUUGCAGAAUUUCCCCAAAUCAUUGUAAACCCUGUACACAUGCUUCACAUAUGCAAAAAGCCUACUAUUAUGCCAAACAGGUUAGUGGGUUAUUCUGGGGUGCCCUCUUUGCCAUUAGCCUUACUGCUGCAGGAUCAUGGUGCAUUGGACUAGAACUCCCCAGCAGCUCCAUUUGCUGCCUGCUGCUCAAUGAAUUUUGUAUUAGCAGGCAAAUGAAACACUCAACCAAGUGAAAGGAAUUCAUAAUGUUGAGGCUUCUAGGAUCAGGAUGUGCCAUGCGCUUUGCAAAGAGGAUUGUGUCUAUCAACAUGCAAUGACUAAUCUAGAUAAAUUGCCACUUUUCAGCACAUCUGGUCUCAAGUUACUUAAAUUAGGGGAGUUCAGCCGUAGAACACCAGCUGAACUAGAGCCUACACAUUCAUAUGUUCCCUCCACAUGCAUAAAUGCUCAAUGAUGGACUUGGUAGUGAUUGGAACCCCUCAUUUCUGAGCAACUGAUAAACCGUACAGUGUUUCUUUGCUGUACCAUAAUUAGGACAAUGUAAUAACGCACCAAAAGUGAUCUUCCAAGCAAGAUAGUUGGGAUUAAUGUUCACAAAAUCUCUUUAUUAACCUGAAUAUCCUCUUUAAAAGUAGUAUGAGAAAAGCUUUUACCCCUUAAAUUGGCAUUUUGGUAAAUAUCACAAAUCUGUUUUAGACCCUAUUCUCAUAAUAAUGAGCCAAAGCCUUACACAAACAUAAUAAUAAUAACUUGCCCAUAACUCCUUGCCAUUUUCUUCUUCCAUGUCUUCCUUAAACAACGAUAAGCUCUGGUGAAGCUUCCACCUUCAGCUGGGUCCUUUUUAAUAACUUCAUGGAGUUUAGAUUUGGAAGGACCUUGGAGGUAAUUUACCCCAAACCGUCUUACUCUGCAGAACAGAAAACUGAGGCCCAGUUCAAUAUAAGUUGAGCUAAUACUUCAAUGUGGUUGCCAAGGAAGCUAAUGCAAUAUUGGACUGUAUUAAAUCAGAACAUGAGUGGUGAUGCUGUCACCAUAUUCUGAACU